RNAcentral lists this ribosomal RNA (909 nucleotides) under uncultured bacterium. RNAcentral describes it as "bacterial SSU rRNA". It matches the Rfam family "Bacterial small subunit ribosomal RNA", at positions 8 to 913 of the family's 1533-position model. The record is from RNAcentral.
AGAGUUUGAUCAUGUCCUCAGAUUGAACGCUGGCGGCAUGCCUUACACAUGCAAGUCGAACGGUAACAGGUCUUCGGAUGCUGACGAGUGGCGAACGGGUGAGUCAUACAUCGGAACGUGCCCGAGAGUGGGGGAUAACGAGGCGAAAGCUUUGCUAAUACCGCAUACGAUCUCAGGAUGAAAGCAGGGGACCGCAAGGCCUUGCGCUCACGGAGCGGCCGAUGGCAGAUUAGGUAGUUGGUGGGAUAAAAGCUUACCAAGCCGACGAUCUGUAGCUGGUCUGAGAGGACGACCAGCCACACUGGGACUGAGACACGGCCCAGACUCCUACGGGAGGCAGCAGUGGGGAAUAUUGGACAAUGGGCGAAAGCCUGAUCCAGCCAUGCCGCGUGUGUGAAGAAGGUCUUCGGAUUGUAAAGCACUUUAAGUUGGGAGGAAGGGUCGUAACCUAAUACGUUACGGCUUUGACGUUACCGACAGAAUAAGCACCGGCUAACUUCGUGCCAGCAGCCGCGGUAAUACGAAGGGUGCAAGCGUUAAUCGGAAUUACUGGGCGUAAAGCGCGCGUAGGUGGUUCAGCAAGUUGGAUGUGAAAGCCCUGGGCUCAACCUGGGAACUGCAUCCAAAACUACUGAGCUAGAGUACGGUAGAGGGUAGUGGAAUUUCCUGUGUAGCGGUGAAAUGCGUAGAUAUAGGAAGGAACACCAGUGGCGAAGGCGACUACCUGGACUGAUACUGACACUGAGGUGCGAAAGCGUGGGGAGNCCACAGGAUUAGAUACCCUGGUAGUCCACGCCGUAAACGAUGUCGACUAGCCGUUGGGAUCCUUGAGAUCUUAGUGGCGCAGCUAACGCAUUAAGUCGACCGCCUGGGGAGUACGGCCGCAAGGUUUAAACUCAAAUGAAUUGA